GGCGGAAGAACCGCCGAAGUCGGUUGCCAGAAACAGACUUCAAACCACUUCAUGUGGCGAUCAUUAAGAGUGAGGU
Gammaproteobacteria bacterium is the source of this 76-nucleotide non-coding RNA. Lineage: Bacteria; Pseudomonadati; Pseudomonadota; Gammaproteobacteria. The record is from Rfam.